GCGUAAGCGCACGCAGGCGGUCUGUCAAGUCGGAUGUGAAAUCCCCGGGCUCAACCUGGGAACUGCAUUCGAAACUGGCAGGCUAGAGUCUUGUAGAGGGGGGUAGAAUUCCAGGUGUAGCGGUGAAAUGCGUAGAGAUCUGGAGGAAUACCGGUGGCGAAGGCGGCCCCCUGGACAAAGACUGACGCUCAGGUGCGAAAGCGUGGGGAGCAAACAGGAUUAGAUACCCUGGUAGUCCACGCCGUAAACGAUGUCGAUUUGGAGGUUGUGCCCUUGAGGCGUGGCUUCCGGAGCUAACGCGUUAAAUCGACCGCCUGGGGAGUACGGCCGCAAGGUUAAAACUCAAAUGAAUUGACGGGGGCCCGCACAAGCGGUGGAGCAUGUGGUUUAAUUCGAUGCAACGCGAAGAACCUUACCUGGUCUUGACAUCCAGAGAACUUUCCAGAGAUGGAUUGGUGCCUUCGGGAACUGUGAGACAGGUGCUGCAUGGCUGUCGUCAGCUCGUGUUGUGAAAUGUUGGGUUAAGUCCCGCAACGAGCGCAACCCUUAUCCUUUGUUGCCAGCGGUUAGGCCGGGAACUCAAAGGAGACUGC
Molecule: ribosomal RNA, 593 nt
Filed under: Enterobacter cloacae
Lineage: Bacteria; Pseudomonadati; Pseudomonadota; Gammaproteobacteria; Enterobacterales; Enterobacteriaceae
Description: bacterial SSU rRNA
Rfam family: Bacterial small subunit ribosomal RNA
Source: RNAcentral